AACGUUCUUCAUAAUGUACGUCCUAUAGAAGAUUUUCUUUUGACUGAGGGGUUUGAUGUGUCGUUGUCUGGUCGUGCCUGAUUGGUUUCUAUACUGACAUUUGUGGAUGUGUCUUGCGUAGAGAACUUAACAGCAACGAUUGCUCAUUUGGGUUUUCGGACUCAGAUUGUUCAUUUUCUUUCUCAGAAAAUCGUUGUCUUGGUAGAUUAAAGUCAUCUCCGAAUCGUUAGAAAUGAAAUGAGUAAUUUGGAGCAAAAUUCACCCAGCCAUUGUACCCAUCAUGCUCGCUCUGCAAUCUUCAGAAACGUUGUGAAUAUCAGUGGGACUAGUGUAGAAGAUUCUGCCAGAACGUGACAUCAUGCAGCUGAGGAAAAUAUAUCUGUUUUAAAGAGGAAUGAUUUGUCAAUCACUUUGAAAAUACAAGUUCUUAUUAAACGUCUUGUAAAAUUGUCGUGUUGCUUACAAAGGCCAAGAGAGUUGAUAUAAUACGGGCAUAUUCAACUAAUUCAAGUUACAUCAUCGAUGUGAGGUUCUCUAAGUGAUCACGUCUUUAAUAAGGCAUGAGCGUACAUACACAAAAAGAAAAACACAUGUUGUAGACAAGUGAAAAAUUAAUCAUUUUAAGAAAUAUACAACAAAUGAAAUUACUUCAACUAAUAUCAUUAUAACUUAUAUAUUUGUAAAUGCCACGUUUGCGUCUAUUACAGUUCCUUUAAAAAUAAAGCAUGAAUUAAUUAUCAA
This is a long non-coding RNA of Xenia sp. Carnegie-2017, 741 nucleotides long. RefSeq lists it as uncharacterized. The transcript has 2 exons. The record is from RefSeq and is a predicted model, not a curated record. Lineage: Eukaryota; Metazoa; Cnidaria; Anthozoa; Malacalcyonacea; Xeniidae.